This 10304-nucleotide long non-coding RNA is filed under the name Zea mays. RNAcentral describes it as "long non-coding RNA (ZMAY_LNC002885)". The record is from RNAcentral. Lineage: Eukaryota; Viridiplantae; Streptophyta; Magnoliopsida; Poales; Poaceae.
CCUGCCUGCCUGCCGCGCCGAGUAGCCCCGGCUCCCCGGCGAACGCAUGUGCGCGGUGGGAGGGGGGAGCGCAUGAUUGAUCGCCCACACCCCAGCCGGCCAGUCCGACCUCGCCCGGCCGCGGUUCCCGGCGCGGAGGCGAUGGCGAUGGCGAGCCCAGCGGGCAGCCGUGGUGUGGCCCCCCCGGGCGCGCGGCGAUUUCCCGGCCGUGUCGGGUGGGAAAUAAUCGAACCGCGCUGCCUUUCUCCGUGCAUGCGAUCAUUGCGGCCUCCCCUCGGCUUUUUACGUUUUGCCGGCUCCGUCGCCGUCCGGCUCGGUGGCAUGCAUGGACUGGACCUGGACGGAAGGUCGGGGGGUACGGUGACUGGGACGGACGGACACGGACCACGGCCCGGAAACCCAUGAUGAUUUCUCCACUGCCAACGCUGGUAUAUAUCUGACGACGGGUUUCGGGCGGGGGGACUGCUGCUUGCUAGGCGGUCGAAGAACUCCGGCGUCAGUUGAUUGAAGCAAGGCAAAGCAGCCAGCAGCAGGUGUGACAAGGCCACGGAGUUUUUGUUGGCUCGUGGCCGGCGUCACGUGUGGUUAUUACGUACGCGACAACAGGCGCGCGUCCAAGGAGUGAGUAGCCGCCGAGCGGCACCAUCAGGUGUUUCACAGAGGACACGUACGUCGAACCGUUCUGACUUCUGCUUUCCCGAGACCCCAGUGUGGCGGACGGGUAACCAUUUUUUUUCCGUCAGGGAAGCCAAACAUUUGUGUACAGUAACAGUAACGCUUUUGUUUUUCGAAAGAGCAGUCACAUAAAAAAAAACUGACCUCAAGUCUGCAGCUCCGUGGGCCGUAUCGGUGUGUGCUACGCAAGUUCAGGCCCAUCAGACCAUCAAGUGCAAAAGCCUAGCUAGCAUUCCCCUCCACACUGCCGGGUCCGAUUAGAGCCCAAUUACCCCCACCGCGUCCCCUAAUCGUCUCGCACGUACCGUACGGUCUCAGGCGCAUCGGCCUCGCCGCUCCACAGACGACGGCGGAGGCGGCGAGAUGACGGUCUUCCACUUCCUCAACUGCGCCUUCCUCACCUUUGGCCCCCACGUCGUCUACUACUCCGCUACCCCACUGUACAUCUCCCUCCCUCCCUCCCUCCCCUUGAGAUCCGUAUGCUAAACAUACGGGAUCUGCCACUGGAUCCGUACUGUCAGUCAAGACUAGAGAGUAACCACAUGAUAACUAUGAAAUCAUGAAGUGCGUUCUGGAGUGGAAAAGAUUACACUGAAACUAUAUACAUGUAAAUAACAGGCCGAAAAUUGAAUUAUACUAAAUGUUUGCUAGUAUAUUCUCUAUGUAGCUUUAAGGUUGUGGCCUUUUCAGUUACAUAAAAAAGGUCUGAAUAUCUCAUUUCUCAUCUAAUGCAAUAGUCCACAUCCACUGCAACUAAACCCUACUUAUUUUCUGGCCGUCACCCACUCCGGCAAUGAGGGCAGCGUCUACCCAUAACCCAUGGAACAUGUACAUUAGGUCAUGGAUUCUUGGCAAUGCAUACCUAGCUGAGCUGACCUGACCUAGUUUUAUCUGAACAUGACAAGAAAACAGUGUUCUGCAUUCAAAGGUUCCCUCGACUGAACAUUUUUUUUAUCCAAUUACCUGUUUUUAGGUCAGAGUAUGAUACGAUCGGCACUUCUGUAAAAGCAGCUGCUGUUUACCUUGGAACUGCACUUGUAAAGGUCAGCCACCGGCCCAGGAUUCUUAGCUUUUGUAAAUUUUGAAGCAGUAAAGGGAUACAUCUAGUGCAAAACCAAUUAGGUGCAAGUUUGGGAAAACAAGUCUUUUUAUCUGGGCACCAAGUAACAUGAAAAAUUCCACAAGGAAAAAAAAGUAAAAUUAGAUGUUUCCUCUGGAUUAUUGACUUGUUCAAUAUAGAUGGGUAAAACCCAAAACUUUUGGGUUUAUUUUUUUGCAUUAUUUUGGUGUACACCUGUUUUGUCAUAUUUCCCAGUGAGAACCAUGGUUGUUUAGCCAAAUAAUGUAUCAUUAAUCGAUCGCUUACCUAUUCAAAUUUUUUUUCUUGUUUGUUUGUGUUCUCAUUACCUUGUUGUGUCUACCUUUUUUUUAUUAACACUUGAUGCUCAUUUCAGUAGCUUUUCCUAUUAUAACCUUAAUAUAUUCUGCAAUAUAUAUACAUUCUUUUGAUUUUUAGAUACAAACUUUUGCCGUGUGCGUAACUGUAACAUGGCACUGUGUCAAAGAAGUUAUUCAGCCUUUUCCUGAUUUCAAUUUUCUAUAGUUUAUUCUGCAUGGUUAAAGUUUUGUUGUUAACUUUCAAUGGUUGACGUUACUUGUAAUUCCUUGCCAUACUAUUCUAUUUUUUUUUCUAUGCUUAUUAUCACGAUAAGUUCAGUGAACCAACGUCAUUAAUUGGCUGCUAACAUCACUAUAUCAUAUUGGCAGCUUGUUUGCUUGGCAACAUUGCUCAAAGUACCUGAGAAUGAUAGCUUUGAUCCCUGUCAGGUAUAUUUGCUACACUUUAUGGGACUCGCAAAAUACACUUUGAUUCCAACUUGGUGCCCUCUUAUCUAUCCUGUUGUUUGAACUUGCAGGAGUUAUUGAAAGUUGUUAUUGGAUUCAUAGAUGCAGUUGGACUGUAUUUUGCCUUGACACAGUUGACCCACAGAAACAUAUCUCAGAAUCAUAAGUUCCAGGCUGUUGGUCUUGGUAAGUACAGAGUUGUCUCUGAAAUUUGAUUCAUGACAGAUUAUCAAACUGCAUCCAUGGCCAUAGUGAAAUUUAUUCUCUCUUCUAAAUUACCAUCUCUAUUCUGUGCCUUUUCUAUUUGUCCUUGUGUGCUAUGUGCUGAAAAUAUAUCUUAGGCUUUACUACUUGUGUCCAUCUUGAGUUACACUGCACUUAUUUUUCCAUUACAUGGUUUUGGCAUGGAUAUAUGGAAGGAAGCACACUUAGGUCCUGUUUGGAUCUCCUUAGAAAAGUGAGAAUGAGAUCCAAACACUUGGGUUAUAGAAUGAGAUUUUAGAAUCCAAAUAUCUACCCAAACCACUAUUUAGAGAUUUUUCGGUAUGCAAAGGUAAUAAUCACUAUGAGAAUGAGUUCCAAACACCCCUUAUUUUUAUGCCAGAAUUCAGAUUCUACAUUCACUAUCCAGAAUCCAGAAUCUACACAAACCACUAUUUAGGGACUUACUGGUUAUUGUCAGUGGUAUCAGAAAUUUGUCAACAUCUUGUUUUGUUAGUUUCUCUGCAUAAAUUUGUGGAAAAAAUAUGAGAUUGUGGCCCUUUCUCAGUGUAUCGUAACUUUGUUGUCACUUAACAUCAAAGGCUGGUUGUUUUGGGGUUUUCAGGUUGGGCUUUUGCUGCUUCAGUUCUGCACCGACUGGCACCUCUCUGGAUUGGAGCAAGAGGGCUUGAAUUUACAUGGGAGUACAUAUUACAAGGCCUUGAAGCAAAUGCUAAUCUUGUAUGCACUCAAUACAAUGUGAAAAUAUAAUACCAGAUUCCUUGAUUUGAAGAAAGCAACUUCCUAAACUCAUGGUGUUUAUUUAACAUAUUUGUCAACAAGAAGAAUGCUAAUUUAUAUUUUUCUACAGGUGAUGACCCUCUCCCUUGCUGCAUUGGGAUCCUUGAUGUGGCUUAGGAAGAACAAGCCUAGGACUUUGGUUCCGAUAGUUUAUGCAUGUGCUCUGCUCUUAGCAACAAUGCCAUCUAUUACCGGGUAAACAACGUUCUGCUUUGUUUUCUGAAACAGAAAGUGCUUUAUUACAAGAAAUCAUAAUUUCUAGAUGUGUAUGUCAUCUUUUUUGUUGUUGCUAAGCCAUGCCUGUAGAUUAUUCUAGCAUGACUUGUAUGGAAUCAAGACUAAAAGGCUUCUUUGUUGUUGCCUGUGUUGUCAAUUAGUUUGAACUCAGGAAGAUUAUCUGAGUUCUUAACCGCUUCAACAGUCAACACCAUGCUUAACACCUGAUGGAUAGAUAGCACAUUUAUUUUUUUUCUCAACCCUAAACUUUUCUAAUUUAGAUGUCUUAAUUUUCCAUCUCCAUUGGAUAUAUCAUCAUCAUGUGCAAAGCUCCAUGAAUACCUUGAAUUCUUUUCCCAAAGAGUGUUUGAAUUUUCUGUUCAACUGCGGCAUUCGUAGUAAUUAAUCUUUUUCUUCGAGGAUAUAUGGUAGUUCUUGUUUACCUAAGCUACGACCAACUUUGGCAUAUGUUUCAUGCUACACAAUUAUGGAUGAUUAUAUAUGUUUCAUGCUACACAAUUAUGGAUGAUCUAUACUCACCACCGACCAGGAAAUACCAUUCUUUACCCAUCACCUUUAGGUCCUAUUGUCUAUUGAUUUCGCUGUGAUUUGUGCGUUCCAUGCUCCCUAGUCAUAUUGUUCACUGGGCUAAACAUGCUCAAAUAUUGCAGCUACUUGAGGAGGUCAUUGGAGUGGCAGACACCAAAGGUGGUUGGCUUUGAGCUCAUCUCCUCUCUUGUUAUGGCUUUGAUCAGCUGGCAGCUGUUCUCGGCUUGUCAGAGACCGACGUGACGAGACAUCCAUAUCACUGCCAAUUUUACGUGCAGUUUGAAGCUGCUGAGGAUGCUUCCUGAUACGUCGGAAGAAUUACGAUGAUUCUCUGAACUCUGGACCACAACUCUUCUUGGCGUUCGGUCACAGAACAUUUUACAUAGAACAUCUGUUGUGACUUAGAGAACUGUCGAGCAGAAACCCAUGCCUCAAAUGAGUUAAUUCUGUAACAGAUGCUCAGGUAGGCCUUUGAUCUGAAACAUUUGUUUAUUGUUAUUACGGUGUGCAUUUCAGACAGAUGCUAUCUUUGGUCGCAUAAUCUAGCGUAAAGAUCAGAUAAUUCAGGUAUCCCACAGAACGCGUGAAUAAAAAGAAGUUUGGUUGCACUCCUCUCACUCUUGAUGUGAACACCUGAAGAUCAAUGUCAGACCUCGGCUCUGAAAACAUGUUUCCACAGUAUUCAUCAAUUGUCAUCGUUGAUACAGUACAUACCAAAGAUUGAAUCGAAAGUAUAUAUAUGUGUAUUUAGAGUCCUGGACUCUGUUUAACUACAGAAGCCCCGACCACCAGUCCGAUUGACCAGGCGCACCGUCUGGUCCACCCACCAUAAUGUUUAAGCUUACUUAUACACAGCUUUACGCUCAUGUACCAUCGUAUAAAAACAACCGCUCUACUUGGUCUUUCCGCAAUGGCUGAGACUAGGGUUUCAUUGGUGGCGGUAGCACGACAUGAGCGAGCGCAGCGAAGCCAGCACAACCGCCGGCGAACAAGCGUCCCCAUAGACGAGAUCCAUGGCGCAGCGCCGGAAGAGCGUCUCCUCCGUGCCGUUUGCUUCGGCGAGCGCUGGGAGGGGAUAAUGGCAGUAGUGAGCUCGGUCUCUGUUCUGUCCCUCGCGUCGCUGAGGCCUCUUUCGUUGAGGUGUGCUGCUAGGAAUGUGUUGGAGGGAGGAGGGAGAAGGGCUUCGAGUCCCCUACUCCUCGCGAGGUAUGGGCUGCGGCGCGGACGCCCGGCUGCUGCUGCUGUGGGCGGCGAAGUGGAGUUGGCCCUCGAAGAUGCAGAUGCCACGAUGAGGGUGGCCGCCGACGACGACAGCAUCACGGCCACGGUGGUGUCCGUGCUGCUCACACUUGCGUUCGUCGGUCUCUCCAUCCUCACCCUCGGGGUGCGUGUCCUUCCAUGAAAAUCAUUAGUUGGGUUGCGACUUGCCGCUUGCGAGCUGUUGUGGUAUUGGAAGGUCGAUGCUGGUCUCUCCAGACGCCAGACUGUGCUUUUGGCUAGCUUACGAUUAUCUUUGCAAUGCAGGUGAUCACCAGUCGGUGCAAGACUUCUUGCAUAAGAGGGAAAAGGAGAAGUUUGAGAAGGAGGAGGCCGAAAAGCAGAAAGAGGAGGCGAGGAAGAAGAGGGCUAAGUCCUGGCAGAAGAGAAGAAAUUAUUGAUCUCGGGAUGAACUACCCCCCACCAAUGUGACCAUUUCUUCUUCUUUUCCACCCUGUUUCUUGUAAUAGCAAUGAUUUUGUAUGUAGCGUUGCACCUUUGGUAUCACAUUGUGGCUUUCCUUCACUCCAUUGCCGGCUCUUGGAUGCUGUAACACUGAACUCCAUUGUCGGAUCCAUUGCCCGAGGUUGUGCUCACGCCAUCAGUUUUGGAGUCUCUUGGAUGCUGUAACACUGAACUCCAUUGUCGGCUCCAUUGCCGAGGUUGUUCUCACGCCAUCAGUUUUGGAGUCCGGAGGAGGUAGGACACUCACUAUUCUCGUUUUCCCCAAAAUAGAACAUCUCUUCCAACAUUGUUACUGUCCAAUUGAGUACAUAUUGUCAAAAUCCAUCAGAAAUAUCUAACUGACUCUUGUUAUCGGUAGCUCUCCUAGUCGAUUUGUUAAAUAUCUAACUGUCUGUUGAUAUAUGCAGGGAGGAAAAGCAGGGUAGCCAGAAUCUCUGUUGGCGUCGCCUGUUUCAUUGUGUUCAUGAUGAUCCUUUCAGUAAUAGGCCUUUUUAGGAAGUAAAGGAAACGUUUGUGCUCUGGUUUCUGCAAGAGGUUUGCACAUAAACGAUUUUUUAUUGCAGUCUAGGCUUCAACCUUUGGUUGAUAAACACUCUCUCAAUAAGUAACGAAGGAAUAAGAAUAAAUGGUGGGAAAUACAAGAAUCUGAAAAUGAAUAAAUGAUGCGACAGGUUGUUGUAGAGUAGCAUGAUCUAAGUGAAUGCAUAACUCUACUCUUAUAUUAUAUAAUUUCUCUCAAUCCAUGUCUUUUAACUGGUGAAUCAUUUUAGGCUUCUGUUUCUUUUAUGCUUUUAUACAGGCUUACACAGACCUGUUUUGACAAGAGCCGAGCAGCGAUGCUUCCAUUUCGGACCACGACCUAGCUAAAGGCUAAUGGUUCCAAAUGUCUGAAGUACCGAAGACAGGGCUAGCUCCUCAUUUUUUGUCAUGUCAAAAAAAUCGUGCAUGAUUGCAACAAUAUUGGCAAAAUAUCGUUGUACUUUAUAUUUUUUGAUAUACUGUGAACAAAACAAGUGCCCUAUGAGACAAUCGUGAUUUAUGAUUUAUGCAUUUUCAAACUAAAUUUACAACACUUCAUGUUGUGUUUUAUGCUUCCAUUAAAAAACAGUCUUACUGCAUUUUACGCUAAAUUUAUGACACUUUUUAUGUGUUUUACAACAAUCUCUUGCGAAGUGAGAUUGUGUGCGUGUUUUACACUAAAUUUCGUACUCAUUUACGCUAUUUUAGCUCACGUUUUACGUUGAAAUCAUUCGAGCCAGAACCCGUGCACGAUCGGCUGCAUGCGAUUUUCACGCCGUAAUUUUGGGCCCUGUUUGCUGUUACAAAACAGAUAUAUGAUUUACGACAAAUUUCGUACUCAUUUAUACUGUUUUAGAUAGCGUAAAUGAGUACGGAAUUUAUCGUAAAUCCUAUUUCUGUUUUGUAACAGCAAACGGGUCCAAAAUUACGGCGUGAAAAUCGCAUGCAGCCGAUCGUACGCGGGUUCUGGCUCGAAUGAUUUCAGCGUAAAAUGUGAGCUAAAACAUCGUAAAUGAGUACGAAAUUUUGUGCAAAACACGCGCACAAUCUCACUUCGCAAGAGAUUGCUGUAAAACACAUCAAAAAGUGUCAUAAAUUUGGCGUAAAACGCAGUAAGACUGUUUUUUAAUGGAAACAUAAAACACAACAAAAAGUGUCGUAAAAUUUAGUUUGAACAUACAUAAAUCACGAUGGUCUCAUAGGGCACUUGUUUUGUUCACAGUAUAUCAAAAUAUAAAGUACAACAAUAUUUUGCCAAAAUUGCUGCAAUCAUACACGAUUUUUUUGACAUGACAAAAAACGAGGAGCUAGCCUUGUCUUUGGUACUUGAGACAUUUGGAACCAUUAGCCUUUAGCUAGGUCGUGGUCCGAAAUGGAAGCAUCGCUGCUCGGUCUCUUGUCAAAACAGGUCUGUGUAAGCAUGUAUAAAGCAUAAAAGAAACCUAAAAUGAUUCACCAAUUAAAAGACAUGGAUUGAGAGGAAUGAUAUAAUAUAAGAGUAGAGUUAUGCAUUCACUUAGAUCAUGCUGCUCUACAACAACCUGUCACAUCAUUUAUUCAUUUUCAUAUUCUUAUAUCUCUCAUCAUUUAUUCUUAUUCCUUCGUUACUUAUUGUGAGUGUUUAUCAACCAAAGGUUGGAGCCUAGACAGCAAUAAAAAAUUGUUUAUGUGCAAACCUCUUGCAGAAACCAGAGCACAAACGUUUCCUUUACUUCCUAAAAAGGCCUAUUACUGAAAGGAUCAUCAUGAACACAAUGAAACAGGCGACGCCAAUAGAGAUUCUGGCUACCCUGCUUUUCCUCCCUGCAUAUAUCAACAGACAGUUAGAUAUUUAACAAAUCGAGUAGGAGAGCUAUCGAUAACAAGAGUCAGUUAGAUAUUUCUGAUGGAUUUUGACAAUAUGUACAACUGGACAGUAACAAUGUUGGAAGAGAUGUUCUAUUUUGGGGAAAACGAGAAUAGUGAGUGUCUUACCUCCUCCGGACUCCAAAACUGAUGGCGUGAGCACAACCCCGGGCAAUGGAGCCGGCAAUGGAGUUCAGUGUUACAGCAUCCAAGAGACUCCAAAACUGAUGGCGUGAGCACAACCCCGGGCAAUGGAGCCGGCAAUGGAGUUCAGUGUUACAGCAUCUAAGAGCCGACAAUGGAGUGAAGGAAAACCACAAUGUGAUACCAAAGGUGCAACACUACAUACAAAAUCAUUGCUAUUACAAGAAACAUGGUGGAAAAGAAGAAGAAAUGGUCACAUUGGUGGGGGUAGUUCAUCCUGAGAUCAAUAAUUUCUUCUCUUCUGCCUCGACUUAGCCCUCUUCUUCCUCGCCUCCUCUUUCUGCUUUUCGGCCUCCUCCUUCUCAAACUUCUCCUUUUCCCUCUUCUGCAAGAAGUCCUGCACCGACAGGUAGAUCACCUGCAUUGCAAAGAGAAUCGUGAGCUAGCCAAAAGCACAGUCUGGUAUCUGGAGAGACCAGCAUCGACCUUCCAAUACCACAACAGCUCGCAAGCGACAAGUCGCAACCCAGCUCACGAUUUUCAUGGAAGGACACGCACCCCGAGGGUGAGGAUGGAGAGGCCGACGAACGCAAGUGUGAGCAGCACGGACACCACCGUGGCCGUGAUGCUGUCGUCGUCGGCGGCCACCCUCAUCGCGGCAUCCGCAUCUUCGAGGGCCAACUCUGCUUCGCCGCCCACAGCAGCAGCCGGGCGUCCGCGCCACAGCCCAUACCUCGCGAGGAGCAGGGGACUCGAAGCCCUUCUCCCUCCUCCCUCCAACACAUUCCUAGCAGCACGCCUCAACGGAAGAGGCCUCAGCGACGCGAGGGGCAGAAUAGAGACCGAGCUCACUGCUGCCAUUAUCCCCUCCCGGCGCGCGCCGAAGCAAACAGCACGGAGGAGACGCUCUUCCGGCGCUCCGCCAUGGAUCUCGUCUAUGGGGACACUUGUCCGCCGGCAGUUGUGUUGGCUUCGCUGCGCUCGCUCACGUGGUGCAACCGUCACCACUGAAAUUCUAGUUUCAGCCAUCGCGGAAAGGCCAGGUAGAGCGGUUGUUUCUAUAAGAUGAUACAUGAGCGUAAACCUGUGUAAGCGUAAAACCUCAUCUGGGCGCCGAACGCUCCUCCGCGCCGCUUCCUGCCCGCGAGGCUGAGCGAUGCCACGACCUUGGCGAAGGAGUAGUCGGCGGUCUUGCGCACCCCGAGCAUGGUCACCUUGUUGAGCCCCUUGAGGCCGCUGUAGGCUUUCAUGCCCUCCACGUACGUGACGCCGGCGGCGGGCCUCCUCUUGGCUGCCGGGGCCGCUAGCGACGGGGCCGUUGCCACGGCGAACGACGCCAUCCCUGCGCUGCGUGGACUGGACUGGCUAGAGAGCUAGCCUGCUGGCGACGGGCAGCGCGGACAGGCGGUGAGAACCGGUAUAUGCAAGGCGGCGGACGCGCCGUGACUGUAACUGUAAUGAAGUGUAGUGCAGAGUAUGGGAACGCGGCGUGAACCGACGACGCUUACCUGUGGGCUGUGGCUCGUGAGAGAGACGAGUGUGGCCGGCGGGGGUGGAACCGUGGAACUGGAUGGGAUGGCUUGAGCGCGCGUUUUUUUUUGGGUACGGGAGAUGAGGGGAGGAUAAGGCGGGGCGCGGAAUGGAUGGUUGCCAAGGGGGAGUUUAUCCUCGGUGGUGAGUGUCACGGAGGAGGUUCAUGGGCGGAACCAGGGACACAUGGAGGACUGGAGGUCCGCACCACACAGGAGGCAAGCCUAUGCCUUUCGAUCUCCUGGAGGCACACGCAG